UCCAUCCGGUGGCAACACCGGGGAAGAUCUAGCGGCGAACGGGUGAGUAACACGUGAGAAACCUGCCCUGAAGUCUGGGAUAACCCGAGGAAACUCGAGCUAAUACCGGAUGCCUUCCAAUGGUCGCAUGGCCGAUGGAAGAAAGAUUUAUCGCUUCAGGAGGGUCUCGCGGCCUAUCAGCUUGUUGGCGGGGUAACGGCCCACCAAGGCGUCGACGGGUAGCUGGUCUGAGAGGACGAUCAGCCACACUGGGACUGAGACACGGCCCAGACUCCUACGGGAGGCAGCAGUGGGGAAUAUUGCGCAAUGGGCGAAAGCCUGACGCAGCAACGCCGCGUGCGGGAUGAAGGCCUUCGGG
RNAcentral lists this ribosomal RNA (358 nucleotides) under uncultured bacterium. RNAcentral describes it as "bacterial SSU rRNA". It matches the Rfam family "Bacterial small subunit ribosomal RNA", at positions 68 to 422 of the family's 1533-position model. The record is from RNAcentral.